ACUAUUGUUGAUUUUUUGUAUUAACUGUUUUUACUAUUUACAAAGUUAUACAUAUAUAUUAUUUGUUCACGGUCAUGGAUAUUUUAGAUUAUAUUAAUUAUUCAGAUGAUGAAGUCGUUAAUAAUGAUGCUUAUGAAAGCGAUCCAGAUGAUAAUUUAUUUGUACUUGCUGAAUUAGUAGCUUUCCCAUGACGAACCAAAAUUAUUCGAGAACGACCAGAUCAUUUUCAAAUUUGGAGAGAUCAUGGAUUUUUACAACAAUUUUACCUG
This is a non-coding RNA of Cinara cedri, 269 nucleotides long. NCBI's taxonomy places the organism in Eukaryota, Metazoa, Arthropoda, Insecta, Hemiptera, Aphididae. The record is from the annotation of a GenBank genome assembly.